This 511-nucleotide long non-coding RNA is filed under the name Trifolium pratense (red clover). RNAcentral's name for it is "long non-coding RNA (TPRA_LNC011954)". Lineage: Eukaryota; Viridiplantae; Streptophyta; Magnoliopsida; Fabales; Fabaceae. The record is from RNAcentral.
UGAGAACGGCGAGUUAUUAUAAUGUUGUGUUAACAUGAUUUUGCUUGGAAGAUGUUAAAUAAUGUUUACAUUUUUUAUAGAUCAAUAGUUCAGUUUAAUUUUGAAUCAGGAUUGAGUUUGUGAUUGGUUUUCAAGUUAAUAAUGUUUGGUGUCAAACAAUUGGCAAACCUGGUAACUCUUAGCAGCCUUUAACUCUUGUUAACUCCUGCUCAAAUUCAUCACUUAUUGCGAAGGUAAUAAAGAUGAAAAUUUUGAUAACCUUUUGAAUUUCAGAUGGUUAUUGGAAAUUGGUUUUUGUUUACAGUGACUGUGGUAAAGAGUGGAACUAGAGCUUUACCGUAUCUGUGAUUGGAUGGUGACACGAGUUCCAUUGGUUUUCCUGGGCUAAGCCUUUUACUCGUAUUUACACUUACACUGGUCAUGUUCAACAUUGAUCAAUUAGAAUUUCAACAUUGAUCAACUAAAAUUUCAACAUUGAUGCUUGUGUGGGUGUAGGUUGCUAAGUGUAUAG